CAUGCAGUCUCAGUACAGACUAUAUUAAAGUGAAACCGCAAAGGCUCAGUAAACCAGUUUUAAUUUACUAGAGUUAACUUGACUGUGCUUGGAUAACUGUGGUAAUUCUAGAGCUAAUACAUGCAACCAAGCCGUGACCAUUCGUGGUCAGGGCGCUUUUGUUAGACCAAGACCAAUCGCCCGGCCAGUCCGGGCGUUAAGUUGAGGAACCUAGAUAACACAGCAGAUCGCAUGGUCUCCGUACCGGCGACUUAUCUUUCAAAUGCCUGACUUAUCAACUGACGAUGGUAGACUCUGUGUCUACCAUGGCUGUUACGGGUAACGGGGAAUCAGGGUUCGAUUCCGGAGAGGGAGCCUGAGAAACGGCUACCACAUCCAAGGAAGGCAGCAGGCACGCAAAUUACCCACUCCCGGAACGGGGAGGUAGUGACAAAAAAUAACGAUACGGGACUCGAUAUGAGGCCUCGUAAUCGGAAUGAGUACACUCUAAAUCCUUUAACAAAAAUCUAUUGGAGGGCAAGUCUGGUGCCAGCAGCCGCGGUAAUUCCAGCUCCAAUAGCGUAUAUUAAAGUUGUUGCGGUUAAAAAGCUCGUAGUUGGUUCUGCGUCCCGCGCUGUCGGUACACCGUUUGUCGGUGACACUGGCAUGACGCGGGAUGUCCUGUCGGUGGCGGCGGAGACCAUAUCGCCGUCGGAUAACACCGCGGCGUGUUGGCCUUCUGUCGCCGGCUAUAUCCUACCGCGGUGCUCUUCACUGAGUGUCGAGGUAGGCCGACACGUUUACUUUGAACAAAUUAGAGUGCUUAAAGCAGGCAAAAAUCUCUGCCAGAAUAGUGGUGCAUGGAAUAAUGGAACAGGACCUUGGUUCUAUUCUGUUGGUCUCCGGAACACAAGGUAAUGAUCAAUGUGGACAGGCGGGGGCAUUCGUAUUGCGGCGUUAGAGGUGAAAUUCUUGGAUCGUCGCAAGACGCACUAGAGCGAAAGCAAUUGCCAAGUAUGUCUUGAGCUUUCCCCGGGAAACCAAAGCUUUUGGGUUCCGGGGGAAGUAUGGUUGCAAAGCUGAAACUUAAAGGAAUUGACGGAAGGGCACCACCAGAAGUGGAGCCUGCGGCUUAAUUUGACUCAACACGGGAAACCUCACCAGGUCAGGACAUUGGAAUGAUUGACAGAUUGAUAGCUCUUUCUUGAUUCAGUGGGUAGUGGUGCAUGGCCGUUCUUAGUUGGUGGAUCGAUUUGUCUGGUUAAUUCCGAUAACGAACGAGACUCUAGCCUAUUAACUAGACGCGUUUGGUAUCGAAUCUACCGGCGAACAAUAUUCUUCUUAAGGGGACAGGCGGCUUUUAGCCGCACGAGAUUGAGCAAUAACAGGUCUGUGAUGCCCUUAGAUGUCCUGGGCCGCACGCGCGCUACACUGAAGGAAUCAGCGUGUGCGUUCCCUUGGCCGAAAGGUCCGGGUAACCCGCUGAACCUCCUUCGUGCUAGGAAUUGGGGCUUGCAAUUGUUCCCCAUGAACGAGGAAUUCCCAGUAAGCGCGAGUCAUAAGCUCGCGUUGAUUACGUCCCUGCCCUUUGUACACACCGCCCGUCGCUACUACCGAUUGAAUGAUUUAGUGAGGUCUUCGGACUGGCGGUAAGCCCAACCGACUUUGUCGGUUUUGUCGAACGCUGGAAAGAUGACCAAACUUGAUCAUUUAGAGGAAGUAAAAGUCGUAACAAGGUUUCCGUA
This 1724-nucleotide ribosomal RNA is filed under the name Cimex lectularius (bed bug). RNAcentral describes it as "SSU rRNA". It matches the Rfam family "Eukaryotic small subunit ribosomal RNA". The record is from RNAcentral. Lineage: Eukaryota; Metazoa; Arthropoda; Insecta; Hemiptera; Cimicidae.